Molecule: ribosomal RNA, 253 nt
Filed under: uncultured bacterium
Lineage: Bacteria
Description: partial 16S ribosomal RNA
Rfam family: Bacterial small subunit ribosomal RNA
Source: RNAcentral
UACGGAGGUCCCAAGCGUUGUUCGGAUUCACUGGGCGUAAAGGGCGCGUAGGCGGCCUUCUAAGUCAGACGUGAAAUCCCCCGGCUUAACCUGGGAACUGCGUCUGAUACUGGAGGGCUUGAGUGCGGGAGAGGGAUGUGGAAUUCCAGGUGUAGCGGUGAAAUGCGUAGAUAUCUGGAGGAACACCGGUGGCGAAGGCGGCAUCCUGGACCGACACUGACGCUGAGGCGCGAAAGCUAGGGUAGCAAACGGG